GCUCAACUUCCUUUCACAAAACCCUUCAGCCAUUCACACUCUCAAUCUUUCAUCCCUCCAAUUUCUCACAAAAUCCUCUCUCUCGUCGGACUUCCAUCGACACAGAAAGUAAUCGAAGCAACUCUCCAACUUCUGAAGCCCAAACCAUUUGCUGGAGCUAAUGUGUUCGUCUCUCGUAAUCUUGUCGCUUCGGAGAUGUUCGAUCCUUUUCACGACGCUCUCAAGCAGAAUGGGGCUGAGGUUUUCCUCUGUUGCGAUCCCUCUCAAAACGCCCCUAACGACUAUCAUGUUAUCUCCUCCGCCGAUCACGCAAAGUUCGAGGAUCUUCGCGCCAAGGGAUGCAACUUGUUAGGUCCUCAGUGCGUGAUGUCAUGUGCAAAAAGAGCACAGACCUCUUCCUCAACAGGGUUAUACUUGCUGCCUUGCCAUGGAUGGUGUGAAAAUCUUGGCAUCCGGUUUUCAGGAAGAUGAAAAGGUUGAGAUAGGGAAGUUAGUUAGUGCAAUGGGGGGAGUAUUGCAUACGAAAGCAUCACUAGAUGUCAGUUUUGUUAUCGUGAAGAAUGCUUUGGCUGCGAAAUACAAGUGGGCACUAAACAUUUCAAAGAAACCAAUCGUGUCAUUUUCUUGGUUACAACAAUGCUGGAUUGAACAUCGUGUUGUGCCUCAGGAGGGAUAUCGGGUCCUUCCAUUUUCUGGAUUGAAUAUUUCGGUAUCUGGAAUUCCUGCAGGUGAGCUCAAGGAGAUGGCAAAGCUUAUCUUGCAAAAUGGUGGAAGAUAUUCUGCCGAUCUCACAAGAAAGUGUACACAUUUGAUAUGUGAUGCUCCUGAAGGUGACAAGUACAAGGUUGCACGAACGUGGGGCCGUAUCAAUAUUGUUACUUGGAAAUGGUUUGAUCAGUCCAUAGCCAGAAAAGGAUGUCUUAAUGAGGAUUUGUACCGUGUUGGUAGCGUUUCUGGAACUUAAAAUAAAUUGACAAGGGUUUGCUUGACUGCUCACAAUGGCCAAGAAAAGGUUAUUGUGAACUCAGCUGUACCGUCCUCAUUUCUUGCCGAUUCAAAAUUCACAGCAGUUGCUGGUCCUUGGUUUUCAGACAUGGAUGUUGAAGUUACUCUUUCACAGAGCACGCCUAUGUUUUCAGAUGCUUCUCAUUUUAUAAAUGAGGUUGAUGUUGAAGUGCCAGUCGCGAUGGGAAGGAAUGAAGAAAACACUGUUAAUUACCUUGCAAAUGACUUUCCGUCUGAAGAAAACGACCUAUAUUUGUCAGCAUGUAGAAUAAAAGUUGUUGGGUUUGAAGCUUCUGAGAUGCAGAAGAUUGUAAAUAUGAUUCUCAGAGGUGGAGGCUUCCGAUACAUGUUGUUCAAUGACAAAUUAACACACAUAAUAGCAACUGGCUUGAAGAUUGUGAUCGUCAGAAGAAGGAGAUCCCUAUUCUUGGUAGACACAUGGCAGAUGAUGAACUUAUUCCUAAAGCAUCUAGUAAAAUGAGCACCAUUGUUAUGGAUCGGAAUAAAGUUCCAAAUGUUCAUCCAAUCGUGCCAUCAAAUGUGUCAGAAGGAAAUAUUCAUCAAAUGGUACAAACAAGAGUCAAGAAAAGAUGGGGCGUGAUUUCAUGGUUUUGUUUUUCUAGUUCCUUUCGAGAAGAUCGGAGAGCUGAAAUUGUUGAAUGGAUAAAUCAAGGGGGAGGCGAGGUUGUUGAAGAUCACAUGAAGCAGAAAGUGCACUUCACUGUUGAAUGUCAUGGUGGGAUACCAAGGAGUACAGACGUUCAUAGUACUUACGUGUCAAGUCAUUGGGUUCAAUCAUGUUUAGAGGAUGGAUGUUUGUGGGAUACCAAUGGGCACAUUCUCUAUUCUCCUCUUCCUUGUUGUGUCCCUUUGCCUGGAUUUGAAAACAUACGGUUUUGUGUUUCACAAUAUGAUGAUAAAGACAGAGUAUUGUUAAGAAAUUUGUGUUUUGUACUUGGGGCCAAGUUUGUGGAGAAGCUGACAAAGAAGGUAACCCAUCUAAUAUGCAAGUUCACGGAUGGGACAAAGUAUGAGGCUGCUUGUAAAUGGGGGAAACAAUGCAUUACAGCUGAAUGGAUAUAUGAGUGUGUCAGACAAAGAAAGAUUGUUUCUCUUGAUUUGUAUCGCCCAAAAGAAGUUACAGCUCAAGACAGAGUGACAUGCUUGUGCACUGUCAGCCAAUUUCCUACUCAAGCUGCCCCAAUGAUAGCCAAUGAAAGCGUAUCCCAGUUUCCUAUCCAUUCUGCCAUUCUGAGAGACCAAUCAGCUGGAACUAACAGUAGCUCUAUAGGAGCAGCUGAACGAAUAAGUUCUACUAAAAGAAGGCGCAAGUUAUUUGACGAAGCCAUACAAAAGCGUUCAGUUUUUGUUGGAAACAGUUCCACUCAAUCUGACUGCAAUUUGAAUUCCACAAAACAAACUACAUCAAAAUCUUCUGUAGUAACUUCACACGUUCCUGAUGUCGCUUCCGCAAUCGAGGACUUGUUGGAGCAGACAACUAAGAUUCAAGAUCAGAAGUCACCUGGAAAGACUGGCUGCGACAAAAGUGUAUCCUUCUAUUAGGUUUAAACUAACUAGUGGACAUGGCCAUUCUUAGCUCUUACAUCCAAAGCAGUUAGUCGUACGAGGACAAUUUCUUUUUCUUUGUCUGUUUUACUGAGUCAAAAGCAGCCUUUAGGUUUCAUUAUUACAUUCUGGUGGAGCGAGAGAAAGAACAGAAUCGUCAAAGGGUGUGAGAGUCCUUAUUGCGAUGUUUGAUCCCUUACUGAAUUCUUUGUUUCUUCUGGGACAUUUGUUUUGUUAUUAUUUGCUAGACCUUAUCUCUUUAUUGGAGCCUUUUUUGCACUUUGGUUCUU
This is an RNA transcript of Cucumis sativus (cucumber), 2861 nucleotides long. It is a transcript of the gene named DNA topoisomerase 2-binding protein 1, with no coding region annotated. The record is from RefSeq and is a predicted model, not a curated record. NCBI's taxonomy places the organism in Eukaryota, Viridiplantae, Streptophyta, Magnoliopsida, Cucurbitales, Cucurbitaceae. The annotation marks the transcript as partial. The transcript is spliced from 14 exons.